AUACAAAUGCUUUAGAUUUAUAUUAAUACAGUACAAAAUAAAGUAAUAAUUAAAAUAAUUAGAAUAAUAUUGAGAAUAGUGAUUUUGAGUAAAAUCAAAAUAUUACUAUGAUUAAUUUAAUUUUUCUAUAUUUAAUACUUUGAAAAUAUGUUAAUUAAAACUAGGAUUAGAUACCCUACUAUUCAUUAAAUUAAAUUUUUUUUUUGCUUAAGUAGUAUUAUAUAUUAUUAUAAAUAUUUAUUAAUAUUGAAACUUAAAAAGCUUGGCGGUACUAUAUAUCCAUUUAGGGGAGCUUGUUUAUUAAUUUGAUAAUCCUCAAUUUACACUUACUUUUUCUUGAAAUAAUUCAGUUUGUGUAUUGCUGUCGUCAGUUUAUUUUGUAAAAUUAUAAAGAACAUGAUAGUAAAAUUUACUUGU
This 417-nucleotide ribosomal RNA is filed under the name Ascarosepion mestus. RNAcentral describes it as "partial 12S rRNA". Lineage: Eukaryota; Metazoa; Mollusca; Cephalopoda; Sepiida; Sepiidae. The record is from RNAcentral.